CCUACGGGUGGCAGCAGUGGGGAAUAUUGGGCAAUGGGCGCAAGCCUGACCCAGCAACGCCGCGUGAAGGAAGAAGGCUUUCGGGUUGUAACCUUCUUUUCUCAGGGACGAAGAAAGUGACGGUACCUGAGGAAUAAGCCACGGCUAACUACGUGCCAGCAGCCGCGGUAAUACGUAGGUGGCAAGCGUUAUCCGGAUUUACUGGGUGUAAAGGGCGUGUAGGCGGGGAAGCAAGUCAGAUGUGAAAACCACGGGCUCAACCUGUGGCCUGCAUUUGAAACUGUGUUUCUUGAGUGCUGGAGAGGCAAUCGGAAUUCCGUGUGUAGCGGUGAAAUGCGUAGAUAUACGGAGGAACACCAGUGGCGAAGGCGGAUUGCUGGACAGUAACUGACGCUGAUGCGCGAAAGCGUGGGGGGCAAACAGGAUUAGAUACCCCAGUAGUC
RNAcentral lists this ribosomal RNA (443 nucleotides) under uncultured bacterium. RNAcentral describes it as "partial 16S ribosomal RNA". It matches the Rfam family "Bacterial small subunit ribosomal RNA", at positions 338 to 795 of the family's 1533-position model. The record is from RNAcentral.